AGAAUGAAUAUCCAGAGGUCAAGGGUCAAGACCAGGUUCACUUUGGCACAUAUGGAUAAUGGACAGCUGAAUGCAAAACCCCAUGGAUGAGGUAGUCCAGGAGCUUCUGUACUUCACAGGCAGGUUUUCAGUGAGCUGUGCAGGGUUGGAGGUCCCCAGGAGAACCGAACUCACUCCUUCAUUACGGAGGCACCAGGCUACAGAGGAACACAGAGAAUAGAUUUAUGAGGAAGCUGUGCUUUGGUCCUAUAUUUAUCCACUGGUAUGACUGCACAGAGAGAGAAAUACAGUGAGACAACCACAGCAAACCUGCCCUGACAGACCUGCCACCCUCAUCGCUGGAUACUAGCUGAAGAAAUCUGGCACUGUUUCAGUUGGAUAUGGAUCAGUUUACUCAACAGAUAUCUAUCCUUAUGUUUUGAGGAAAUUAUGUGUCUGCCAUGACACAAGAUUAAGUACCUUCAAAGAGGCUCUAGAAGAUUCUGG
Long non-coding RNA from Ctenopharyngodon idella (grass carp), 486 nucleotides. RefSeq lists it as uncharacterized. The transcript is spliced from 4 exons. Lineage: Eukaryota; Metazoa; Chordata; Actinopteri; Cypriniformes; Xenocyprididae. The record is from RefSeq and is a predicted model, not a curated record.